Streptomyces sp. NRRL WC-3618 is the source of this 218-nucleotide ribosomal RNA. It matches the Rfam family "Bacterial large subunit ribosomal RNA", at positions 485 to 689 of the family's 2925-position model. Lineage: Bacteria; Bacillati; Actinomycetota; Actinomycetes; Kitasatosporales; Streptomycetaceae. The record is from Rfam.
CGAUAGCGGAUAGUACCGUGAGGGAAUGGUGAAAAGUACCGCGGGAGCGGAGUGAAAUAGUACCUGAAACCGUGUGCCUACAAGCCGUGGGAGCGUCGCUGUAUGUGCUUGCACAUACAGUCGUGACUGCGUGCCUUUUGAAGAAUGAGCCUGCGAGUUUGCGGUGUGUUGCGAGGUUAACCCGUGUGGGGAAGCCGUAGCGAAAGCGAGUCCGAAUA